GAUGGUGACGCAACCAGGAUGGCGUGACCUAGGAAGUGGAGGAAAUGUAUUGAGGUCAUACCGUAGUCUAGAUGAGUGGGGCGCACAGUAGAAGGUCACCAUGACGUCAGCUGUGGACUUCUGGUUGGCUCAUAGGGAAAUCGCUAAUGCGCAAGCUGGACUGGCCGGCUGUUGGCCUCCUCCUACACGGAUGGAUUUAGACUUCACUUUGAAGAACAACUACAGAGGCUAUGGUUGGCAGUCACGUCCAAGGAUUUCUCAUGAGUAGUAG
This is a long non-coding RNA of Mesocricetus auratus (golden hamster), 271 nucleotides long. RefSeq lists it as uncharacterized. The transcript has 3 exons. The record is from RefSeq and is a predicted model, not a curated record. NCBI's taxonomy places the organism in Eukaryota, Metazoa, Chordata, Mammalia, Rodentia, Cricetidae.